GAUGAACGCUGGCGGCGUGCCUAAUACAUGCAAGUCGAGCGAACAGAUGAGGAGCUUGCUCCUCUGACGUUAGCGGCGGACGGGUGAGUAACACGUGGAUAACCUACCUAUAAGACUGGGAUAACUUCGGGAAACCGGAGCUAAUACCGGAUAAUAUAUUGAACCGCAUGGUUCAAUAGUGAAAGACGGUUUUGCUGUCACUUAUAGAUGGAUCCGCGCCGCAUUAGCUAGUUGGUAAGGUAACGGCUUACCAAGGCAACGAUGCGUAGCCGACCUGAGAGGAUGAUCGGCCACACUGGAACUGAGACACGGUCCAGACUCCUACGGGAGGCAGCAGUAGGGAAUCUUCCGCAAUGGGCGAAAGCCUGACGGAGCAACGCCGCGUGAGUGAUGAAGGUCUUCGGAUCGUAAAACUCUGUUAUUAGGGAAGAACAAAUGUGUAAGUAACUAUGCACGUCUUGACGGUACCUAAACAGAAAGCCACGGCUAACUACGUG
This 497-nucleotide ribosomal RNA is filed under the name uncultured bacterium. Its description in RNAcentral is "partial 16S ribosomal RNA". It matches the Rfam family "Bacterial small subunit ribosomal RNA", at positions 28 to 507 of the family's 1533-position model. The record is from RNAcentral.